RNAcentral lists this ribosomal RNA (398 nucleotides) under uncultured bacterium. RNAcentral's name for it is "bacterial SSU rRNA". It matches the Rfam family "Bacterial small subunit ribosomal RNA", at positions 29 to 410 of the family's 1533-position model. The record is from RNAcentral.
AACGAACGCUGGCGGCGUGCCUAACACAUGCAAGUCGUGCGAGAAAGUUCCUUCGGGAGCGAGUAAAGCGGCGCACGGGUGAGUAACACGUAGGUAACCUGCCCCCCAGUCUGGAACAACUAGAGGAAACUCUAGCUAAUGCCGGAUGAGACCACGAUCCCUUCGGGGGUUGCGGCCAAAGAUGGCCUCUACUUGUAAGCUAUCGCUGAGGGAUGGGCCUGCGGGCCAUUAGCUUGUUGGUGAGGUAACGGCUCACCAAGGCUGUGAUGGCUAGCUGGUCUGAGAGGAUGACCAGCCACACUGGGACUGAGACACGGCCCAGACUCCUACGGGAGGCAGCAGUGGGGAAUAUUGCGCAAUGGGCGAAAGCCUGACGCAGCGACGCCGCGUGGGUGAUG